Molecule: transfer RNA, 73 nt
Filed under: Salvia splendens (bonfire salvia)
Lineage: Eukaryota; Viridiplantae; Streptophyta; Magnoliopsida; Lamiales; Lamiaceae
Rfam family: tRNA
About the family: Transfer RNA (tRNA) molecules are approximately 80 nucleotides in length. Their secondary structure includes four short double-helical elements and three loops (D, anti-codon, and T loops). Further hydrogen bonds mediate the characteristic L-shaped molecular structure. tRNAs have two regions of fundamental functional importance: the anti-codon, which is responsible for specific mRNA codon recognition, and the 3' end, to which the tRNAs corresponding amino acid is attached (by aminoacyl-tRNA synthetases). tRNAs cope with the degeneracy of the genetic code in two manners: having more than one tRNA (with a specific anti-codon) for a particular amino acid; and 'wobble' base-pairing, i.e. permitting non-standard base-pairing at the 3rd anti-codon position.
Source: Rfam by way of RNAcentral
UGUACUGUAGUUCAAUUGGUGAGAGUCCACCUUCUUAAGUUGGUAACUAUGGUUUCGAAUCCCAUCAGUCCUG